GGGGAUUUAGCUCAGUGGUAGAGCACUUGCCUAGCAAGCACCAGGCCCUGGGUUCGGUCCCCAGCUCUG
Molecule: transfer RNA, 69 nt
Filed under: Rattus norvegicus (Norway rat)
Lineage: Eukaryota; Metazoa; Chordata; Mammalia; Rodentia; Muridae
Rfam family: tRNA
About the family: Transfer RNA (tRNA) molecules are approximately 80 nucleotides in length. Their secondary structure includes four short double-helical elements and three loops (D, anti-codon, and T loops).
Source: Rfam by way of RNAcentral